UACGGAGGGUGCAAGCGUUAUCCGGAUUCACUGGGUUUAAAGGGUGCGUAGGCGGGCUUGUAAGUCAGUGGUGAAAUCCCGAAGCUUAACUUCGGAACUGCCAUUGAUACUACAAGUCUUGAAUACUGUGGAGGUGGGCGGAAUAUGUCAUGUAGCGGUGAAAUGCUUAGAUAUGACAUAGAACACCGAUUGCGAAGGCAGCUCACUACACGGCGAUUGACGCUGAGGCACGAAAGCGUGGGGAUCAAACAGG
RNAcentral lists this ribosomal RNA (253 nucleotides) under uncultured bacterium. RNAcentral describes it as "partial 16S ribosomal RNA". It matches the Rfam family "Bacterial small subunit ribosomal RNA", at positions 524 to 776 of the family's 1533-position model. The record is from RNAcentral.